GAUGAACGCUGGCGGCGUGCCUAAUACAUGCAAGUCGAGCGAACAGACGAGGAGCUUGCUCCUCUGACGUUAGCGGCGGACGGGUGAGUAACACGUGGAUAACCUACCUAUAAGACUGGGAUAACUUCGGGAAACCGGAGCUAAUACCGGAUAAUAUAUUGAACCGCAUGGUUCAAUAGUGAAAGACGGUUUUGCUGUCACUUAUAGAUUGAUCCGCGCCGCAUUAGCUAGUUGGUAAGGUAACGGCUUACCAAGGCAACGAUGCGUAGCCGACCUGAGAGGGUGAUAGGCCAUACUGGAACUGAAACACGGUCCAGACUCCUACGGGAGGCAGCAGUAGGGAAUAUUCCGCAAUGGGCGAAAGCCUGACGGAGCAACGCCGAGUGAGUGAUGAAGGUCUUCGGAUCGUAAAACUCUGUUAUUAGGGAAGAACAAAUGUGUAAGUAACUAUGCACGUCUUGACGGUACCUAAUCAGAAAGCCACGGCUAGCUACGUG
Molecule: ribosomal RNA, 497 nt
Filed under: uncultured bacterium
Lineage: Bacteria
Description: partial 16S ribosomal RNA
Rfam family: Bacterial small subunit ribosomal RNA
Source: RNAcentral